AAGGAAACAAAAUUAGCAGAGCACAUUUUUUACUUUUACGUCUUCAGUCAGUUUGUAUGUCGUAUGUUCAGAUCAAAGGAGUCCCAGUCAGUAGCAGCAGCAGCCAAAACGGGCAUAGGAAAUCUGCAGCUGUAGAUCAGUAGCAGAGGUCGAUAAACCAAGCCGGUAAAGUGCCAGACGCAUUCCUACCACAAAGCCAGUCCAAAGUUACGGGCAAUGUACAAAUGUGCCAGCCUUUCCCGGUUAUAAACAAACGAUUCUCAAAGCAUUUUUACUUACAAUCAAACGAAGAAACACGAUUGUGUAGAAAACUGGAAAUAUAUACAUAUACAAUAUAUAUAUCUAAUGCAUAUUGUGCCUGAGAUUGUGUUCUAGAUUACUACAAAAGGAACAGUGAAAACAUAGUUGAUCAUUAAACUUAAAGUUUUCGAUAACAAAAGUGCAUAUUUAUCUGAGAAUAUUCAGUUCGGCAUAAAAUCUACGUCAUCACUAACUUAUAAUCUCUCGAGGUACAGCCACAAUUUUGUGCUCUUGAAAACUGUUCAGGCAUCCAAUUAUUGGAUAAAUUU
Long non-coding RNA from Rhagoletis zephyria (snowberry fruit fly), 569 nucleotides. RefSeq lists it as uncharacterized. Lineage: Eukaryota; Metazoa; Arthropoda; Insecta; Diptera; Tephritidae. The record is from RefSeq and is a predicted model, not a curated record.